This 215-nucleotide unclassified non-coding RNA is filed under the name plant metagenome. Its description in RNAcentral is "partial contains small subunit ribosomal RNA, internal transcribed spacer 1, and 5.8S ribosomal RNA". The record is from RNAcentral.
UCUCCGUUGGUGAACCGGCGGAGGGAUCAUUACCGAGUUUACCACUCCCAAACCCCUGUGAACAUACCUGUUUUGUUGCUUCGGCGGUUCCCUCGCUCUCGCGGCGAGCCCCGCCCGCGGACCCAAACAAACUAUUUGACUUUGAUCUAGGAUUAUACUUCUGAGUGAUACAAAAAAUAAAAUCAAAACUUUCAACAACGGAUCUCUUGGUUCUG